Molecule: ribosomal RNA, 397 nt
Filed under: uncultured bacterium
Lineage: Bacteria
Description: partial 16S ribosomal RNA
Rfam family: Bacterial small subunit ribosomal RNA
Source: RNAcentral
AUACGUAGGUGACAAGCGUUAUCCGGAUUUACUGGGCGUAAAGGGCGUGUAGGCGGUCUUGCAAGUCAGAAGUGAAAUUCCUGAGCUCAACUCGGGCGCUGCUUCUGAAACUGCAGGACUUGAGUGCUGGAGGGGAUAGCGGAAUUACUAGUGGAGCGGUAAAAUGCGCAGAUAUUAGGAAGAACACCGGUGGCGAAGGCGACUUACUGGACUGUAACUGACGCUGAGGCGCGAAAGUGUGGGGAGCAAACAGGAUUAGAUACCCUGGUAGUCCACACUGUAAACGAUGAAUGCUAGGUGUAGGGGGUAUCGACCCCUUCUGUGCCGCAGUUAACACAAUAAGCAUUCCGCCUGGGGAGUACGGCCGCAAGGUUGAAACUCAAAUGAAUUGGCGCGG